CACGUAGGGCGCAAGCGUUGUCCGGAAUUAUUGGGCGUAAAGGGCGCGUAGGCGGUGCGGUAAGUCACCUGUGAAACCUCUGGGCUUAACUCAGAGCCUGCAGGCGAAACUGCCGUGCUGGAGUGUGGGAGAGGUGCGUGGAAUUCCCGGUGUAGAGGUGAAAUUCGUAGAUAUCGGGAGGAACACCAGUGGCGAAGGCGGCGACCUGGGCCAAUACUGACGCUGAGGUGCGAAAGCGUGGGGAGCAAACAGG
Molecule: ribosomal RNA, 253 nt
Filed under: uncultured bacterium
Lineage: Bacteria
Description: partial 16S ribosomal RNA
Rfam family: Bacterial small subunit ribosomal RNA
Source: RNAcentral